GAUGAACGCUGGCGGCGUGCCUAAUACAUGCCAGUAGAACGCUGAAGGAAGGAGCUUGCUCUUUCCGGAUGAGUUGCGAACGGGUGAGUAACGCGUAGGUAACCUGCCUGGUAGCGGGGGAUAACUAUUGGAAACGAUAGCUAAUACCGCAUAACAGUAGAUCUUGCAUGAUAUCUACUUAAAAGGUGCAAUUGCACCACUACCAGAUGGACCUGCGUUGUAUUAGCUAGUUGGUGAGGUAACGGCUCACCAAGGCGACGAUACAUAGCCGACCUGAGAGGGUGAUCGGCCACACUGGGACUGAGACACGGCCCAGACUCCUACGGGAGGCAGCAGUAGGGAAUCUUCGGCAAUGGACGGAAGUCUGACCGAGCAACGCCGCGGGAGUGAAGAAGGUUUUCGGAUCGUAAAGCUCUGUUGUAAGAGAAGAACGAGUGUGAGAGUGGAAAGUUCACACUGUGACGGUAUCUUAACAGAAAGGGACGGCUAACUACGUG
This 497-nucleotide ribosomal RNA is filed under the name uncultured bacterium. Its description in RNAcentral is "partial 16S ribosomal RNA". It matches the Rfam family "Bacterial small subunit ribosomal RNA", at positions 28 to 507 of the family's 1533-position model. The record is from RNAcentral.